GAUGAAGAACGUAGCGAAAUGCGAUAAGUAGUGUGAAUUGCAGAAUUCAGUGAAUCAUCGAAUCUUUGAACGCACAUUGCGCCCCUUGGUAUUCCAUGGGGCAUGCCUGUUCGAGCGUCAUUUGUACCUUCAAGCUCUGCUUGGUGUUGGGUGUUUGUCUCGCCUCUGCGUGUAGACUCGCCUCAAAACAAUUGGCAGCCGGCGUAUUGAUUUCGGAGCGCAGUACAUCUCGCGCUUUGCACUCAUAACGACGACGUCCAUAAGUACAUUUUUACACUCUUGACCUCGGAUCAGGUAGGGAUACCCGCUGAACUUAAGCAUAUCAAUAAGCGGAGGA
Molecule: unclassified non-coding RNA, 337 nt
Filed under: soil metagenome
Description: partial contains 5.8S ribosomal RNA, internal transcribed spacer 2, and large subunit ribosomal RNA
Rfam family: 5.8S ribosomal RNA (bases 1-120)
Source: RNAcentral